Molecule: ribosomal RNA, 256 nt
Filed under: uncultured bacterium
Lineage: Bacteria
Description: partial 16S ribosomal RNA
Rfam family: Bacterial small subunit ribosomal RNA
Source: RNAcentral
GGGAAGCGAAACCGCGAGGUAGAGCAAAUCCCAAAAACGGUACUCAGUUCGGAUUGCAGGCUGCAACUCGCCUGUAUGAAGUCGGAAUUGCUAGUAAUCGCGGAUCAGCAUGCCGCGGUGAAUACGUUCCCGGGCCUUGUACACACCGCCCGUCACACCAUGAGAGCCGGGAACACCCGAAGUCCGUAGUCUAACCGCAAGGAGGACGCGGCCGAAGGUGGGUUUGGUAAUUGGGGUGAAGUCGUAACAAGGUAUC